GAUGAACGCUGGCGGCGUGCCUAAUACAUGCAAGUCGAGCGAACAGACGAGGAGCUUGCUCCUCUGAUGUUAGCGGCGGACGGGUGAGUAACACGUGGAUAACCUACCUAUAAGACUGGGAUAACUUCGGGAAACCGGAGCUAAUACCGGAUAACAUGUUGAACCGCAUGGUUCAACAGUGAAAGACGGUCUUGCUGUCACUUAUAGAUGGAUCCGCGCCGCAUUAGCUAGUUGGUAAGGUAUCGGCUUACCAAGGCAACGAUGCGUAGCCGACCUGAGAGGGUGAUCGGCCACACUGGAACUGAGACACGGUCCAGACUCCUACGGGAGGCAGCAGUAGGGAAUCUUCCGCAAUGGGCGAAAGCCUGACGGAGCAACGCCGCGUGAGUGAAGAAGGUCUUCGGAUCGUAAAACUCUGUUAUUAGGGAAGAACAAAUGUGUAAGUAACUAUGCACGUCUUGACGGUACCUAAUCAGAAAGCCACGGCUAACUACGUG
This 497-nucleotide ribosomal RNA is filed under the name uncultured bacterium. RNAcentral's name for it is "partial 16S ribosomal RNA". It matches the Rfam family "Bacterial small subunit ribosomal RNA", at positions 28 to 507 of the family's 1533-position model. The record is from RNAcentral.